This 406-nucleotide ribosomal RNA is filed under the name uncultured bacterium. RNAcentral describes it as "partial 16S ribosomal RNA". It matches the Rfam family "Bacterial small subunit ribosomal RNA", at positions 30 to 526 of the family's 1533-position model. The record is from RNAcentral.
AUUGAACGCUGGCGGCAGGCCUAACACAUGCAAGUCGAACGAGCGGCGGACGGGUGAGUAAUGUCUGGGAAUCUGCCCGAUGGAGGGGGAUCACUACUGGAAACGGUAGCUAAUACCGCAUACUAUCGGAUGUGCCCCUAUGGGAUAAGCUAGUAGGUGGGGUAAUGGCUCACCUAGGCGACGAUCCCUAGCGUGUCUGAGAGGAUGACCAGCCACACUGGAACUGAGACACGGACCAGACUACUACGGUAGGCAGAAGUGGGGAAUAUUGCACAAUGGGCGCAAGCCUGAUGCAGCCAUGCCGCGUGUAUGAAGAAGGCCUUAGGGUUGUAAAGUACUUUCAGCGAGGAGGCGUUACUCGCAGAAGAAGCACCGGCUAACUCCGUGCCAGCCGCCGCGGUAAUAC